Molecule: transfer RNA, 76 nt
Filed under: Clostridium sp.
Lineage: Bacteria; Bacillati; Bacillota; Clostridia; Eubacteriales; Clostridiaceae
Also listed under: 2 other names
Description: tRNA-Ala
Rfam family: tRNA
About the family: Transfer RNA (tRNA) molecules are approximately 80 nucleotides in length. Their secondary structure includes four short double-helical elements and three loops (D, anti-codon, and T loops).
Source: RNAcentral
GGGGGUGUAGCUCAGCUGGGAGAGCACCUGCUUUGCAAGCAGGGGGUCAUCGGUUCGAUUCCGUUCAUCUCCACCA